GUGGGGAAUAUUGGACAAUGGGCGAAAGCCUGAUCCAGCCAUGCCGCGUGUGUGAAGAAGGUCUUCGGAUUGUAAAGCACUUUAAGUUGGGAGGAAGGGUAGUAACCUAAUACGUUGCUACUUUGACGUUACCGACAGAAUAAGCACCGGCUAACUUCGUGCCAGCAGCCGCGGUAAUACGAAGGGUGCAAGCGUUAAUCGGAAUUACUGGGCGUAAAGCGCGCGUAGGUGGUUCAGUAAGUUGGAAGUGAAAUCCCCGGGCUCAACCUGGGAACUGGUUUCAAAACUGCUGAGCUAGAGUACGGUAGAGGGUGGUGGAAUUUCCUGUGUAGCGGUGAAAUGCGUAGAUAUAGGAAGGAACACCAGUGGCGAAGGCGACCACCUGGACUGAUACUGACACUGAGGUGCGAAAGCGUGGGGAGCAAACAGGAUUAGAUACCCGUGUAGUCC
Molecule: ribosomal RNA, 450 nt
Filed under: uncultured bacterium
Lineage: Bacteria
Description: partial 16S ribosomal RNA
Rfam family: Bacterial small subunit ribosomal RNA
Source: RNAcentral